GCAUAUCAAUAAGCGGAGGAAAAGAAACUAACAAGGAUUCCCCUAGUAACUGCGAGUGAAGCGGGAACAGCUCAAAUUUAAAAGCCCUCGGGCGUUGUAAUUUAGAGAAGUGUUUUCAGUCGUUGUCCCGGACAAGUCCCUUGGAACAGGGCGUCAGAGAGGGUGAGAAUCCCGUACUUGCCGGACUACCAACGUCUAUGUGAUACACUCUCGAAGAGUCGAGUUGUUUGGGAAUGCAGCUCAAAACGGGUGGUAAACUCCAUCUAAAGCUAAUAUUGGCGAGAGACCGAUAGCGAACAAGUACCGUGAGGGAAAGAUGAAAAGUACUCUGGACAGAGAGUUAAACAGUACGUGAAAUUGUUGAAAGGGAAGCGCUUGAAGUUAGUCGCGUUGCAAGGACUCAGCCGCAAGGUGCACUUCUUUGUAACGGGUCAACAUCAGUUUGGGGCGGCUUAGAAGGGCUCGGGGAAUGUGGCUGCUUGCAGUGUUAUAGCCCUGUGUCGUAUAGGUCGCCCCGGACUGAGGAUCCCCUAGGA
RNAcentral lists this ribosomal RNA (536 nucleotides) under Dacrymyces radicatus. RNAcentral describes it as "eukaryotic LSU rRNA". It matches the Rfam family "Eukaryotic large subunit ribosomal RNA", at positions 38 to 600 of the family's 3401-position model. Lineage: Eukaryota; Fungi; Basidiomycota; Dacrymycetes; Dacrymycetales; Dacrymycetaceae. The record is from RNAcentral.